CUCAUAGAUGACGGUCGUGACCCAGGCUUCCAUCGGAUGGGGCUGUCACCUCCAUCCUCUAUCUCGUCACAAGCGGCGGCAGAAGCAGGGCCGCGCCGUCUUGGAGGAGGCACAAGGAGGGCUGUGCCACCUUGGAGGAGGAUCCACGCCUCCGUCGGACGAGGCCGUCUCCUCCAUUACCGAUCCCGUCGCGAGCGUCCGCAGAAGAGGGCCGCGGUGCCUUGGAGAAUGCUGUUACCAGGUCGCUUGUUCUUGCCGUUGCUGCGCCGGAUCUGUUGUUGCGGUGGUCAAUCUGUGGGUGCUGCUUCUAUUGGUAGAUCCCCUCCUCGGAUUCCCGUCCGAUCUGUGCCGGCUUUCACGUCUUCGUCCAGGGAACUACAGGUCGACUCCUCCUCUCUUUCCUUUCUCAGUUCCUUUUUAUUUGCAGAACUAGGCUUUGCGUUCGUGCGUCGGUCUAUGUUUGUUGUCUUCUCUGUACAGGGAUGUUUGUUGGAUUCGGUUCAUGUGUUGGUUAGCCGCUGUUAGAUUCGGUUGGUUUGCAGCCUCCAGAUGUCGGAUAAAGGCAGCUGCGAUGGGGAGACAGCUCAAGACAUCAUACACGAAGCUAGCCACAAUUCAGCAGAGUGGUGACCCUGUUGUGCCACCAGCACCAACAUCUCGUAUGUCUGUCGAGUAUGCUAUCGAAGUCAUACAGACAUUCGAUGAGUUCAAACGAUUUUUUGUCACGAGCAUUGGCUUUGGCGGCAUGCUCCAACCUCAAAUGUUGCAGAAACUGAACCUGAAAUUCAGUGCUUGGACGAUGAGCAAGGUCAGCACCACCCGUUGCGCCAUUGUAUUGGCUGAGAACACGAUACUUAAGUUUUGGGCAGAGGAUGUUCACAAAAUCUUUGGAAUCCCAUGUGGACAUCACAACAUAAAGGGUCGGGAUGGCGGCAUCAAGCCCGAGGCAAUUAAGUUUAUAAAGUCCACGUUGGGGAUGCAGACAAAAAGGCGUUCAGUGCCACCCAAAGUUUUUCUUAUGAGGGAUAUAUCUGAAUCAUCGAUCAAGCUUGAGAAGGACUGCUUCCAAAUCGCCUUCGUCAUUUUUGUCAUGGGUCAUGUACUUGUGCCCACCACAAAGCAUGAUUAUGCCACCAUUGAUUUCUGGGGAGCUCCAGCCAACACCGAUGAUAAACCAGUUCAACUGGUGUGAGUAUGUGCUCGAAUGUCUACUUGCGGGUGUAAGGAGGCUUAAGAAUGACAUCCUUUCAAACAACCCUGCCACGAGCCUCUUUGGAUGUCACUUGUUUCUCCAGAUUUUCCUGCUCGACAACCUCGACCUGGGGAUGUUUAACAAGCCACAUACCGUGCUGCCGAGGGUUAGUGUUUUUUACCAGGACUCACUCUGCGGGAUGACAAACAUGCUACUGAUGUUGGCAAAGGCGGCUAUUUCUUAUGCUUCCGCACCGUUACACCACCUGUCAACUGUUUGCUAUGCCCGUUUCAAGCACUCUGCCGCCUAGCAGUCAGAGUCAAGAAACACAGGAAAAGCACCGGUUUAGCAAUCACCUUCAUGCGGUGGUAGCACAUCCAAAAACAACGCAAAACGAUGUUCCAAACCCUGCAUCUCCACACCAUAUGGUUGAUGAACUCACCGGCACAACCAUACAGCUACUAGGUCCGAUGGACUUUGCCAACUACUACGGAGGCAGUAUCCCUACCUGAUUGGCGAUGAGAUCACAGUUCUCUUGAAGGAAGUAAAUGCUCGUUGACUCUCUCACCUCGCAACUGCGCGAGGUCACAUCCAACUUGACAUGAUGAAGUUUUCUGACAAGAUGAUUGCUGCAACAAGCCGCACAUGCACUUGUUGUGUAGCACGUGCCUUUGUGGAGUGUCCACCUAGAGGCGCCACCACAAACAACAGUUCGUUUUGCUCACAGUUGUAUGUGUUUCCUAUCGACGAAUCCUCACACACGUUAUGUGUGAACAAAAUAUGUUUUUUUAUCUCUGACAGAUGAUGACAACACUACCCCAGUUAGAACGGCGAUUGCUGGGCAUCGCCUUCACCUAUCGCCUUGUGAAGGCAAUACUUCUUUGAGCAAGCGGAUCGAACCGUUCACACAGCUCAUCAGACCAAUGUACCACAGAUGGAUACUGCGCUCCAACACAUUUUGCAUACGAUGACCCUGUUUGCGAAGGAAAAUUUACAAGCCAUAAGUGAACUCUACAUCGACCUCCCAAACGAUGCACAACUGAUUUUGGCCAGAGGCGUCUGGAACUUCCUUGCCGGAAACACAUAUACCAGCCUGGUUUCCAAACCAAUCCUUGGGGCAGAGGAGUUGUCCCCUACCCUCCACAAGCUGGUGUUGCUCAACUCCUUGAGCAGUUUUUCAUCUCUGCACCAGACAACGAGCUAUCCCGCAACUUCCUUGUUCAUGAGGAGCCAAGAUUUGUUCGGAUAACCGGCCAUGCGAUUAGGGACCAGCUUGUCGGCAACAGACUAAUUGGCCAUGAACUGAUGUCUUUGGUUUUCUGCCAUUUUGAUCAACUUGAUUGUCAAGCGGAAACGGAAAGCCCUUAUUUAAGCUGGAGUACCCUAUAGAACCUGAUUUCUCAACUCUGGUGUUGUCCGAUUCUGAUUUCUUGCACACGCUCUCAAUAGAGAAGCAGUUAUCCGCCGACUCGCUCAAGUAUGACAUAACAUCGUCCCAAAUGUUUAUCACACCGGUGCGGCGCCCGAAUGGCUGGAUGAUCGUAGUUUGGGAUAUGCUACAGAAAAUAUUAAAUGUCAUCGACCCUCUUUAUGCCAAAAUUUCAACUAAGCACCCCUACAAGGAAUGCGACGAAGCCUUGGCAUGGAAGCUGCACAGUGCAUUAUUCGCAUGCCUUCAUGAAUUCUAUGCCGGAUGGCCGGCAGCCAAGGAAAACUGGCGGAUCAAGCAUGAUCCCACAACUGAUGACAUCCUUACGGCUGAUGAGACAGACGUCUGCGCCAGCCGCAUUGCUCGGCAUUUUGACGGAGACAAGCUUAAGCUGCCUCUUACGCAGCAUAACACAUCCAAAACAAAGAAGGAUGCCCUGCAUGAGUGCUUGAAGCUGCAGGGUAACUUCUCCUAAAACACUCACAAGGCACCGUGGAAAGUCUCAACCAUCAGACUCCGCCUUCGACGACUAGGAAGCCUCCUUGAACAAUCAUUGUACGAACUUUCAUGCAUCACAUCAUCAUAGUUAUCUAUAGCUUUCCCAUAAGAGUAUUUUGGUUUGUAAGUUAAUACAGUAUCACGAAUAUGCAAGCUAUGUCGCUUCCAGACUCUGCUAAAACAACGUAUGAGGUCUACUCUGCUUCCCAUUGCUUGUUCAUCUAGACCCUGUAUACCAGUUUGGUUAUGCAUCCUAUACCGAACAUUUUGGGUUGUAAUUCGGUACAAUAUCAUGAACUUGCAAGCUUUGUCGGCUCCAUA
Molecule: RNA transcript, 3440 nt
Organism: Triticum aestivum (bread wheat)
Lineage: Eukaryota; Viridiplantae; Streptophyta; Magnoliopsida; Poales; Poaceae
Exons: 13
Source: RefSeq, a predicted model, not a curated record